UUAAAUCUCUUUAUGUGAGUUGUGUACUCAUUAGCACAUAUUCCCCAGUGGCUCGGUAGAGGUGUGAAAUGAUUCUGCCGCGGAUUAUACAGUACGUGAAUUAUUCUCUUCGGGAGGGAAAGGGUUUCCCCCGAAUUCCAGAUGCCAGGAUGUGAGAGAGGGAGGGACGGGUUUCAAACUUCCCUACGUGCAGUAAGUCACGGCGAUUCUCAAAGCCGAUGUCUCCUGAACCGCCGGAGCCAGACAGAAACUCCCAGCGCACUCAAGGAGAGGAGACAGUCCGCCUCCAACGUGAACAGCUCUUUUCAACAGGAGGAUACCAAUGCCACAAGGUCACCUCACCGUGUCCACGCAGAGAGCAGCACAGACCUCCACUGAACUUCACAGGGGCUGACGCUUUGUGCUGUACCGAAGCCCGUCUUUGACAGGGAAGAGAAGAGCAGGAUCCAGCAUUUGCCUGAGACGUAGACCUCUCACAGACGCGUGCCCUUGCUUUAACUGAAUUUGUAUUCUUCGACUUGAACUAGUUGUAAGAGCUUCUCCAACCUCCCCUGCCCAGGAACUGGUGUUACAGUAUGUUGUGCAGACUUCAUAUGCAAAAGUCCAUCCAUCCACAGGGCCACAUCACCAGAACAGCUUGUAGGGAACCUAGCCAUCCUGCUCAUGGGUAAGUGAUAAGAUAGGGAUCCCAGAUGCCUUUUUGAAGGACUGCCAAAAAAAAGUGUAUCCUUCAGUCAGAAAACCCCACCCCAUAUUUCUGUCAAACUGCCCAUCCCUUUAGGAAGACAGUUCUAUUCCAAAUCAUCUACCUGGGUCUUGUCCCCAUUCUAAUUUAGUCUAAAUUGUAAAACCCUGGGGUGAUAUUCAAUUCUGGCUUAACA
Lepisosteus oculatus (spotted gar) is the source of this 881-nucleotide long non-coding RNA. RefSeq lists it as uncharacterized. The record is from RefSeq and is a predicted model, not a curated record. Lineage: Eukaryota; Metazoa; Chordata; Actinopteri; Semionotiformes; Lepisosteidae.